Daphnia pulicaria is the source of this 363-nucleotide long non-coding RNA. RefSeq lists it as uncharacterized. The record is from RefSeq and is a predicted model, not a curated record. The transcript is spliced from 3 exons. Lineage: Eukaryota; Metazoa; Arthropoda; Branchiopoda; Diplostraca; Daphniidae.
ACCGAGAAGAUGCGGCCUACAUGAACAUCAUUUAGGCGGCCAGCAUCAUUCGACUACCCAACCGGCUUCUACUACCCUGCUGCUCUCAACACAGCACGGAGUUUUACCCUUUAGAUUUUUGGCUGUUCGCGAUGUGUGUUGGUGUUUCCUUGGACGAGAUUAUGAUUUAGCGAGAAGAAUGUUGCGUUCUAACCUUCAGGUUCCUAAAUAUGAAAAGUAAUGUUCUUUCAAGAAAGUCAACGAGGUCCCUUACUCCCUUGUUUGCUAACCCAAUGGCUGCUACCCUUGAAUCUCCCUAUUUAGCUCCUUACACAGUCCCGAGGGAAUCCUUCGCUACUGAUCAUGGACUCCAUUGGUGAAACU